GGAUUUGUGGUGUGUCCAGUUGGCCUUUGCUCUUUGAGUGAUAGUGCUUUACUGGUCUGCCAUGUUUGGGUGGAAUCUGUGUGGCAUUAAGUUGUCGUGCAGGGGAUGCCCAUCGUUUACUGUGAAAAAAUUAGAGUGUUCAAAGCAGGCUUAUGCCUCUGAAUAUAUUAGCAUGGAAUAAUGAUAUAGGACCUUGGUACUAUUUUGUUGGUUUGCGCACUGAGGUAAUGAUUAAGAGGGACAGUUGGGGGUAUUUGUAUUCCAUUGUCAGAGGUGAAAUUCUUGGAUUUUUGGAAGACAAACUACUGCGAAAGCAUUUACCAAGGAUGUUUUCAUUAAUCAAGAACGAAAGUUAGGGGAUCGAAGAUGAUUAGAUACCAUCGUAGUCUUAACCAUAAACUAUGCCGACAAGGGAUUGGUGGAGUUUCGUUUCGUCUCCAUCAGCACCUUGUGAGAAAUCAUAAGUCUUUGGGUUCCGGGGGGAGUAUGGUCGCA
Molecule: ribosomal RNA, 495 nt
Filed under: Fragilariopsis sp. RCC5208
Lineage: Eukaryota; Bacillariophyta; Bacillariophyceae; Bacillariales; Bacillariaceae
Description: SSU rRNA
Rfam family: Eukaryotic small subunit ribosomal RNA
Source: RNAcentral